GGAUGGGCAGCUGGUUAGAACCGGUUCCCAGGCCGCGGGCAGUCGGAGAGAGAAGCAGUGCUGAGAGGAUCUGUUGACAUUGAUCCCAGUCUGAGAAUCUGCGCCUUCAGCUUACUGCCGCCCGUUCAACUCUCCGCCAAUAUGCCACGCAAAGCGGUUGUGACUACAAAACCUGAAGAACUAAGGAGAUCAUCACGAACUAAGCGUACUAUCCAAACAGCAGCUCCAACCAAGAAGGCACCAGCCAAGGUAAACCUUUUGCCACACCCUGGAAACUUUACGACUAUUG
Molecule: long non-coding RNA, 289 nt
Organism: Rhincodon typus (whale shark)
Lineage: Eukaryota; Metazoa; Chordata; Chondrichthyes; Orectolobiformes; Rhincodontidae
Exons: 4
Source: RefSeq, a predicted model, not a curated record